This 468-nucleotide ribosomal RNA is filed under the name uncultured bacterium. Its description in RNAcentral is "partial 16S ribosomal RNA". It matches the Rfam family "Bacterial small subunit ribosomal RNA", at positions 28 to 507 of the family's 1533-position model. The record is from RNAcentral.
AAUGAACGCUGGCGGCGUGCUUAACACAUGCAAGUCGAACGGAAAGGCCCAAGCUUGCUUGGGUACUCGAGUGGCGAACGGGUGAGUAACACGUGGGUGAUCUGCCCUGCACUUCGGGAUAAGCCUGGGAAACUGGGUCUAAUACCGGAUAGGACGAUGGUUUGGAUGCCAUUGUGGAAAGUUUUUUCGGUGUGGGAUGAGCUCGCCGCCUAUCAGCUUGUUGGUGGGGUAAUGGCCUACCAAGGCGUCGACGGGUAGCCGGCCUGGGAGGGUGUACGGCCACAUUGGGACUGAGAUACGGCCCAGACUCCUACGGGAGGCAGCAGGGGGGAAUAUUGCACAAUGGGCGCAGGCCUGAUGCAGCGACGCCGCGUGGGGGAUGACGGCCUUCGGGUUGUAAACUCCUUUCGCUAGGGACGAAGCGUUUUUGUGACGGUACCUGGAGAAGAAGCACCGGCUAACUACGUG